Molecule: long non-coding RNA, 1194 nt
Filed under: Fukomys damarensis (Damara mole-rat)
Lineage: Eukaryota; Metazoa; Chordata; Mammalia; Rodentia; Bathyergidae
Description: lncRNA (ENSFDAG00000027065.1)
Source: RNAcentral
AUGUCAGCUUCCUCAGGCUGUUUCUGGCAGAGGAAGUCCCUUCCUUGUGGGCGUGGACUAGACCAGUCUGCUGUGACCCGGUGGCUGCUGGACUGGCUGAGAAGCAGAGGCUUCAUGUAUCUGCACAGUCCCACAUUAUCUGGCAUGGCUGGCCUGACACCCACCUGCGAUGAAGUUAUAAAGAACUCACAACUUCUUAAGAGAGGGUAUAGCCAUAUUAUGCCUCCAGACCUACUCCCAGGGCUGCAAGAAAACCUGCCCAAUAAUUCUCUUUGACCUAUAUACAUAAAGAGCAUGAUCAGAUGAGAUGGCCAAGCUUGAAUGUCUUUAAAAGAAAGUUGCUGGGACCUGUGUUGAAGUUACCCAUCUCUACCUCUGACAGAAUGAGAUGAUUAUGGAGAGGCCUGUGUGGAGAGCAAACCUGUGUUCCCUAGAGCACAGCAGAGGGAAUAGAAAGGUCUAAAGAUGAGGAGUUGGCAGAUGAUACCUGGGAAAGCAAAGCCAAGAGAGAGGCCUGUAUGGAGUGGCCUCAGUUCAAGAGAUUGGAAGUGGUGCCGGGGAUUUAACUCAGUGGUUCUGUUGCCUUCUUCACAAGUGCAAGGUCCCAAGUUUGAUCCCUGGUACCCCAAAAACAAAGCAAAACAAACAAACAAAAAGAGAUUGGAGGUGGGAAGGAGAAGAGAUGGAACAGAAUAGAGGAUACAGAAUCAAAACCAAACACAUUAAGCCAUCUAAUCUUUGACAAAUGAAACAAAAUGUAUUUGCAAGUGGAAAGAUAGCAACUGUAGCAAAUGGUACUGAGAAAACUGAUUAUACUCAUGCAGAAGAUUGAAGCUAAAGCCAUUUCUCUCACCAUAACCUAAACUAAAAUGAAAAUAGAUCAAAGAUCUAAAUAUUAAAACAAACAUUUAACCCGCUGGAAGAUAAAAUAGUUAAAAUUCUUGAAGUCAUAGAAUAGGCAAGGACUUUCUGAGCAGAAUCUCAAUUGCACAAGAAGGAACAUCAAGAAUCAACAAAUGGGAUUACAUCAAAUUAAAAAUCUUCUGUAUAGAAAAAGAAACAACUAACAGAGUGAAGAGACAAUGUGCAGUAUUGGAGAAAAUUUUUACAAACUAAACUUCUGAUAGAAUUAAAAUCUAGACUAUGUAAGAAAUUCAAAAAAUUAAACUUCCCAAAGUAAAAGACACAAUCAAA